Long non-coding RNA from Leucoraja erinaceus (little skate), 665 nucleotides. RefSeq lists it as uncharacterized. The transcript is spliced from 2 exons. Lineage: Eukaryota; Metazoa; Chordata; Chondrichthyes; Rajiformes; Rajidae. The record is from RefSeq and is a predicted model, not a curated record.
AUUGGAGGAGGGAGACGUGGCACAGACCUGCGCUUCAUCCGCAGCCAGGAUCGAUCCCGGCCGGGUCUCUGGCGCUAUCCCGCCCCCUCCCGAGUAACCACCCCACCCCACCGGUGGCCAUAGAGGUCAGCAGCAAAGAUCCUCCGCUAUAGGAUCUUUGGUCGGUAGUCAGACUGGCGCGGUGCCUCCAGGCCCACAACCAGCGCAGAGAAGCAGCGCUAAACCAGGUCAACUCUGCCUGUCCCGCCAGGUGAGCCUAUAGCCCUUCCUGGACCUGCGGGAAAUAUGGCCAACGCGGAGAAGCAGCAUUUAACGCUGGAUUGAGCCUCCGAAGCCUCGCGCGUGUGAGUGUCUGGCGAUCUGACAACCUUCAGGAUUAAAUGACCUUCUGACUAGACUCCCAGACCCAUGUGUAAUCAAUCAGCGACCAUCGAGAUCCUCAGCCUUCCAACCCUCUAAAGCCUUGAUCUGUCGUAGACAAUGCCCUGUCACUGUGGCAGAGUCCCUGACUUCCUGGAGCAUCCGAACUGUGAAAAUCAACAAGAUCUGACGACCUAUGUGCAACGGCAGUCUGCAGGAGAGAUCAGCUACUCAAGAGUCGUACAGCGUGGGAAUAGCCUCUUCAGUUCAGCAUGACAAUAAUAAACCAAAACUUAAAACCUAAA